Non-coding RNA from Capsicum annuum, 107 nucleotides. Lineage: Eukaryota; Viridiplantae; Streptophyta; Magnoliopsida; Solanales; Solanaceae. The record is from Rfam.
UGGUAGUGAUAUGGACAGUACCAAAGAAAAUAUUUAAAACUCUCCCAAACAUGAUAGAGGUUCUCAUCUGGCUUUUGCUUAAAGAUCAAAAUCUCACUACAUAGUCU